CCUUGUGGGAUCACUGAAUAAGAUUCCCCUGUCAAUUGCUGGAAUCCUUCUAUUCAAAGUACCUACUAGUUUGGAAAACUCUGCAAGCAUCUUUUUUGGUAUCUUCAUCUAACUGUUACUUUGAUGGUUAUAUGUAUGAUUAUCUACAUGAACGCAGAUAGACACGGGUUUGCCUCCCACCAUCUGUUUGAAUUACAUUUUCUGGCACUAACUAAAGUAACUGCAUUGUACAGGUUUACUGGCGGGAGUAUUUUUUGCGAGAGCCAAAAUGCGGGAGAGAUCUUAGUCCAGUUACCCUGACAUCUAUUAACUGCUGUAUCCUUGAUAAAAUGUGUCCACUCGGUUGAACUGGCUGACCAUUGUAUACUUCAUAGCAAUGGCGAAUCAGUUAAGAAGUUUUCAUUGACAAGGUAAACACAUGGAGAUUUUUCCAUCCGUUUGGCCUUAUGCUGUUAAAUGUUGAAAAUUCCAUGGUGGAAGGGAGAACAGGAUUAUGCCACAUUGUAUUGGUCACCCAGUUUCAAUGUAAUGAAAGACGCUGCCACUUCAAUUUUAGUCAGUAUUUUCUUUGGGCAGCUCAUCUUUUUUCCUUUUGUAUUAGUGUUCUAGUCUUUGAGGAUUCUCCUUUUAGUGGUAUUUUCUGGGCAACUUGAAUUUUAUAGAUAGUUUUCUGAGCAUGAUCUAUCAACUUUCAUCUGAAAAAUCUAUAUCAACAGACCUACAGGAGGGAGAAAAUUAAUGACAA
RNAcentral lists this unclassified non-coding RNA (745 nucleotides) under Hevea brasiliensis (rubber tree). The record is from RNAcentral. Lineage: Eukaryota; Viridiplantae; Streptophyta; Magnoliopsida; Malpighiales; Euphorbiaceae.